This 516-nucleotide long non-coding RNA is filed under the name Mus pahari (shrew mouse). Its description in RNAcentral is "lncRNA (MGP_PahariEiJ_G0005119.1)". The record is from RNAcentral. Lineage: Eukaryota; Metazoa; Chordata; Mammalia; Rodentia; Muridae.
GCCGGCUCCAGCUGACUACGGAGGACUAGUUUAGAUCUCCAGAUUCGAUAAUAUCUGCAUGUGUGGCACAAUUGAAGCAGCAGUGGCUUUCAGGCUAGUUACUGCAUGGACUAGUAAGGUAGCUCUCCUGCUCUCAGCACCGUGCAUCUGAUGCUCCGUUCUCAGGGACCACCUAACGUGGUUAACCGCCCUGGCUAACGGGGACACUGCUGACAAUACACGUGGCUGUUAGUUCCUGAUUUCUGCUUAAGGCUUUGCAGUUCUGCUUUUAGUCCUGUGACCAGAGACACUUCCUCCUAUGGCAGCUGAAUUCCACAUUUCCUGAAACAGGAUUUCCCUAUUUUGUAGAGAACUUCCAUGACUGAAUCUUCCUGCUUCUGGAAAUAAAAUGGGUAGUACCUUGCACACAAAGCUUGGAGGGUGCCUCUCUUUCUUCUCUUCUUCUGCUUUUUCUCAUUUACCUGAGAAGAAUUUUAAAUGGAUCAAAGGAAUGAAUGUCAGCCACCAAACUGAGAA